AUUGAACGCUGGCGGCAGGCUUAACACAUGCAAGUCGAGCGGGGUGAGGUACUUCGGUACUGAUCCUAGCGGCGGACGGGUGAGUAAUGCUUAGGAAUCUGCCAUUUAGUGGGGGACAACAUUCCGAAAGGAAUGCUAAUACCGCAUACGUCCUACGGGAGAAAGCAGGGGAUCUUCGGACCUUGCGCUAAAUGAUGAGCCUAAGUCGGAUUAGCUAGUUGGUGGGGUAAAGGCCUACCAAGGCGACGAUCUGUAGCGGGUCUGAGAGGAUGAUCCGCCACACUGGGACUGAGACACGGCCCAGACUCCUACGGGAGGCAGCAGUGGGGAAUAUUGUACAAUGGGCGGAAGCCUGAUCCAGCCAUGCCGCGUGUGUGAAGAAGGCCUUUUGGUUGUAAAGCACUUUAAGCGAGGAGGAGGCUACCUGGAUUAAUACUCUGGGAUAGUGGACGUUACUCGCAGAAUAAGCACCGGCUAACUCUGUGCCAGCCGCCGCCGCGG
RNAcentral lists this ribosomal RNA (501 nucleotides) under uncultured bacterium. Its description in RNAcentral is "partial 16S ribosomal RNA". It matches the Rfam family "Bacterial small subunit ribosomal RNA", at positions 30 to 523 of the family's 1533-position model. The record is from RNAcentral.